RNAcentral lists this ribosomal RNA (457 nucleotides) under uncultured bacterium. RNAcentral describes it as "bacterial SSU rRNA". It matches the Rfam family "Bacterial small subunit ribosomal RNA", at positions 791 to 1236 of the family's 1533-position model. The record is from RNAcentral.
UAGUCCUAGCUGUAAACGAUGAGCACUGGGUUGAGGGGACUCCCACAUCUUCUCGGCCGUAGCGAAAGCGUUAAGUGCUCCGCCUGGGGGAGUAUGGUCGCAAGGCUGAAAACUCAAAGGAAUUGACGGGGGGCUCACACAAGCGGUGGAGGAUGUGGCUUAAUUCGAGGAUACGCGAAGAACCUUAUCCUAGACUUGACAUGCUUGAGAGUCUCUAUGAAAGUAGAGAGUGCCCUUCGGGGAGCUCUUGCACAGGUGCUGCAUGGCUGUCGUCAGCUCGUGUCGUGAGAUGUCGGGUUAAGUCCUAUAACGAGCGCAACCCCUGUUGUUAGUUGCCAGCACAUUAUGGUGGGAACUCUAACAAGACUGCCGGUGCAAACCGUGAGGAGGGUGGGGGAUGGACGUCAAAUCAUCACGGCCCUUACGUCCUGGGGCUACACACGUGCUACAAUGGGUA